UAGCUGGGUGUGGUGGCUCACACCUGUAAUCCCAGCACUUUGGGAGGCCGAGGCAGGCAGACCAUUUGAGUCCAGAAAUUCAAGGCCAGUCUCGGUAGACAUGUCAAAACCCUGUCUCUACUAAAAAUACAAAAAUUACCCAGGUGUGGUGGCAUGUGCCUAUAAUCCCAGCUACUUGGGAGGCUGAGGC
Molecule: long non-coding RNA, 190 nt
Organism: Sapajus apella (tufted capuchin)
Lineage: Eukaryota; Metazoa; Chordata; Mammalia; Primates; Cebidae
Exons: 3
Source: RefSeq, a predicted model, not a curated record